AUGGAUCGGCGCAAGGGCAGCGGCAGCCGCGACGCCAACGGCGGCCUCGCGGAGGCGACGGCGUCCAGGCUCAGGUUCGAGGACGCCGACGAGGUGGCCGGGGAGGUCGGGAUGGAGGUGGAGGAGAGCCCCGCCGCGCCCGGGGAGGAGGUCAUCGGCAACGACAAGACCAGCGCCGACUACUACUUCGACUCCUACUCCCACUUCGGUAUUCAUGAAGAAAUGCUAAAAGAUGUUGUUCGGACAAGAUCAUAUCAAAAUGUUAUCACCCAGAAUAACUUUCUUUUCAAGGACAAAAUAGUCCUUGAUGUUGGUGCUGGGACCGGUAUCCUAUCACUUUUUUGUGCGAAGGCAGGAGCUAAGCAUGUCUAUGCGAUUGAAUGCUCACAGAUGGCGGACAUGGCAAAGGAAAUUGUGAAAACAAAUGGAUUUUCUGAAGUCAUUACGGUAAUAAAAGGGAAAGUUGAAGAAAUUGAGCUUCCUGUCCCAAAAGUAGAUGUCAUAAUCUCUGAAUGGAUGGGUUAUUUCCUCCUGUUUGAGAAUAUGUUGGACACUGUUCUUUUUGCACGUGAUAAAUGGCUGGCUGAUGAUGGUGUUGUCCUGCCAGACAAAGCCUCUUUACAUCUUACUGCAAUUGAAGAUGCAGAAUACAAGGAGGACAAAAUUGAAUUUUGGAAUAAUGUGUAUGGCUUUGAUAUGAGCUGUAUUAAGAAACAGGCAAUGAUGGAGCCACUUGUAGAUACUGUGGAUCAAAAUCAGAUCGUCACUAACUGUCAGUUACUGAAGACGAUGGAUAUUUCCAAGAUGUCAUCUGGGGAUGCAUCAUUUACUGUGCCGUUCAAAUUGGUAGCAGAGCGUAAUGACUUCAUCCAUGCUCUUGUUGCUUACUUUAACGUGUCAUUCACCAAAUGCCAUAAGCUGAUGGGCUUCUCGACAGGGCCCAGAUCAAAGUCCACUCACUGGAAGCAGACUGUUCUGUAUCUCGAGGAUGUGGUAACUAUCUGCGAGGGAGAGACUCUGUCGGGCAGCAUGACAGUUGCAAACAACAAAAAGAACCCUCGGGACAUCGACAUUACGCUGAAAUACGCCAUAAACGGCAAUAGGUGCAAGGUGUCCAGAACACAACACUACAAGAUGCGGUGA
RNAcentral lists this ribosomal RNA (1143 nucleotides) under Triticum aestivum (bread wheat). RNAcentral describes it as "partial small subunit ribosomal RNA". Lineage: Eukaryota; Viridiplantae; Streptophyta; Magnoliopsida; Poales; Poaceae. The record is from RNAcentral.